GAGCCUGCACCGAGUUGGAUUUGAUACGAUUUCGUUUCGCUUUCAUCACCACUAACCAACAAAGUAGUGCAAUAUGAACCUUCUUUAACCAUUAAAGAAGAAAGGUAUGGAAUUCUCAUUAAUUUGCAACUUACUAUCGUCUCCAAUUAAUCGAUCAGGCUUAAGACCCCACAACAUCUAUUCCCCCCAUCAUGCCCGUCGGGACACGAUGCCUUCACACCUAAAACUAAGCUUCAAGGCCAAACCUGGUGCUCUUGUUCAGCUGCUACAACCCACGUCGCUUAUCCAAUCACAGACAUUAGAUGAAGACCAUAAUACUCUCAUGGCUUCUCCUUGUCCUAUUAAUCCAACCCCGCUGGUGCUCAGCCAUCAAAAUAACUCUUUCAAAAGAGAGUGGACUUCAUCAACUGGGACAACAACCGCAAGGCCAACGGCUUCAAGAGGUAUUUGUACGCCCGAAUAAGAUCACCGAGUUGAGCAAAGUCAGGAGAGGGAGAGAGUGUGAAGAGUUGGGCGCUCAGAGGAAGGUGAGCCACAAAGGAGAGGGUGGUCCAGCUGGUGCAGGAGGAGGUGAAGCCAGAAAAGUUCCUGGCGGUGCAAAUUCUGAUUAUCAUGAGACAAAACGUGGACAUCGCAGUGCUGCACCGCAGAUGCAAGUGCUAUAUACUUCCCACCUAUCCACCAUCCCUAGUAUUUGGUUGAUCCUUGUACUUCUUUUCUAUUAAUUUCUCGGGGUUUACAAACGUUUAUCAUCGAAAUUGUAGUGUUCUGAAUUGCAAUCUAUGAUGAUGACUGCACUUAGAUUGCAAUCUAUAAUGAUGAUUAUCUUAUGUAUCUUUGAUUUUCAGUAA
Elaeis guineensis (African oil palm) is the source of this 851-nucleotide non-coding RNA. The record is from RefSeq and is a predicted model, not a curated record. NCBI's taxonomy places the organism in Eukaryota, Viridiplantae, Streptophyta, Magnoliopsida, Arecales, Arecaceae.